Molecule: ribosomal RNA, 468 nt
Filed under: uncultured bacterium
Lineage: Bacteria
Description: partial 16S ribosomal RNA
Rfam family: Bacterial small subunit ribosomal RNA
Source: RNAcentral
GACGAACGCUGGCGGCGUGCUUAACACAUGCAAGUCGAACGGAAAGGCCCUGCUUUUGUGGGGUGCUCGAUUGGCGAACGGGUGAGUAACACGUGAGUAACCUGCCCUUGUCUUUGGGAUAACUUCACGAAACUGGGGCUCAAACAGGAUAGGAUCUCCUGCUCCAUGGUGGUGGUUGGAAAGUUUCGGCGGUUGGGGAUGGACUCGCGGCUUAUCAGCUUGUUGGGGGGGUAGUGGCUUACAAAGGCUUCGACGGGUAGCCGGCCUGAGAGGGUGACCGGCCACAUUGGGACUGAGAUACGGCCCAGACUCCUACGGGAGGCAGCAGUGGGGAAUAUUGCACAAUGGGCGGAAGCCUGAUGCAGCAACGCCGCGUGCGGGAUGACGGCCUUCGGGUUGUAAACCGCUGUCGCCUGUGACGAAGCGUGAGUGACGGUAAUGGGUAAAGAAGCACCGGCUAACUACGUG